Molecule: long non-coding RNA, 711 nt
Organism: Rhagoletis zephyria (snowberry fruit fly)
Lineage: Eukaryota; Metazoa; Arthropoda; Insecta; Diptera; Tephritidae
Source: RefSeq, a predicted model, not a curated record
UAUCGUUACUAUCGAUAGUACCAUCGAGAGUUUUGCACCCCUAGUUUUGUGGUUCAUGAAAAAUUUAGUUUGAUUUAGUUCUUUAAACUAGUUCAUUCAAGUGCGUGUGAAUUAUAUGUGUACAUAUAUAGAAUUCUAGAUGAACUACAUUUUUUAAAUUGACUAAAUAAAAUUUGCUUUAAAUCUAAUCAAUAUCCGAAUUGUGAAAACUGUCCCAUAUAUGAAUUGUGUUACAAAUAUUCCAAUACAAACCUUCUUUAUGUACAAAAUAUGUAGUUAUGGUACUGAUUGAACAAUAAUUAUGCGCUAUUUCUUUUUCGAUUGCCAUAAAAACUAAGCGCUGGUUUGUCUGGAGUUAAAAUGCCUGCAAAGAGAAGUCUGAUAUGGAGUCAUUUCAAAAAUGCUGGCUCGAAACGUGCUAUGUGCAAACAUUGUUCAAAGAAAAUAAGUUUCAAUGGCGGGUCCCUAGGAAAUUUAAGCCGCCACAUGAAACUUCGGCAUUCUAUGAUUCGCUGGCAUGAUACGACUCUUAAUGGUAACGGCGAAGGAAACAUACCAGAGGAUCAAUUAGAGCAGGGCGAUCAAUCAACGCAAAGUGAGCAGCAAUUGCAGGCGGAGCAGCUGCUGCAGAUGAAUAAACGGUGCUCUGCAAGCGACUUCAUAUCUACCUUAUAUGAAUUCGCGUUUGUGCUCUUAUUUUAUAUUAGUCUU